Long non-coding RNA from Humulus lupulus (European hop), 254 nucleotides. RefSeq lists it as uncharacterized. The transcript is spliced from 3 exons. The record is from RefSeq and is a predicted model, not a curated record. NCBI's taxonomy places the organism in Eukaryota, Viridiplantae, Streptophyta, Magnoliopsida, Rosales, Cannabaceae.
AGAAAGAAGGAGGAAAGAAAGAAAGAAGGAGAGGAAGAAGAAGAUGGGAUUCGAAAUCCCUAGGUGUAGGUGCUCAAGAGGAGAAUCAACCUUGUGGUUUUGAUUUCUAUCAAGGAGGUAGCAAAUAGGUUUCUCUAUGGCACACGUGGUGAUGUGGGGAGUUCUAUCGUCGUGGUGUGUAUGGCGUGGGGGCAUCCUAUGGAUGAAAAAUGAUCAAUUAAAAACGCCAUUUUUAAUAAUGUUAUGUUUCAUGA